ACAUUUCUUUUGUGGGAGCUAAAGGGUUAACACAUGAUCCAUGACGUCAGACUACAGAAGACGUCGCUGUGGUAGUGUGGGACCUCUUCUGCCGGUAUAAUUUCACAUUGCAAAGUUUCCAUCAGGCCUUGCCCUCAUCCAGAAGUGUGUUCACAAGAGUCGCAGCCCUGCAUUUCAAAUCAGUAGACGAGUAUUUCGCCAUGAACUCUGACAUGGAUGGUGACAUAGAAAAUCAGGUGGAGUUGGAGGAGAAGACCAGACUUAUAAACCAGGUCCUUGAGUUGCAGAAUACUCUUGAGGGUAAGUAACCCACACUACAUGUUUUGUCACAUAAUGUUAACUAAUGCUGGGUUCUUUAACCU
This 362-nucleotide long non-coding RNA is filed under the name Sinocyclocheilus grahami. RNAcentral describes it as "lncRNA (ENSSGRG00000048535.1)". Lineage: Eukaryota; Metazoa; Chordata; Actinopteri; Cypriniformes; Cyprinidae. The record is from RNAcentral.